Molecule: transfer RNA, 62 nt
Filed under: Graphium xenocles
Lineage: Eukaryota; Metazoa; Arthropoda; Insecta; Lepidoptera; Papilionidae
Description: tRNA-Ser
Source: RNAcentral
GAAAUAUAAAUAAAUUAAGCUUCUAACUUAAUAUAUAGUGAUUAACAUUCAUUAAUAUUUCU